AGCGUACACGGUGGAUGCCCUGGCAGUCAGAGGCGAUGAAGGACGUGCUAAUCUGCGAUAAGCGUCGGUAAGGUGAUAUGAACCGUUAUAACCGGCGAUUUCCGAAUGGGGAAACCCAGUGUGUUUCGACACACUAUCAUUAACUGAAUCCAUAGGUUAAUGAGGCGAACCGGGGGAACUGAAACAUCUAAGUACCCCGAGGAAAAGAAAUCAACCGAGAUUCCCCCAGUAGCGGCGAGCGAACGGGGAGCAGCCCAGAGCCUGAAUCAGUGUGUGUGUUAGUGGAAGCGUCUGGAAAGGCGCGCGAUACAGGGUGACAGCCCCGUACACAAAAAUGCACAUGCUGUGAGCUCGAUGAGUAGGGCGGGACACGUGGUAUCCUGUCUGAAUAUGGGGGGACCAUCCUCCAAGGCUAAAUACUCCUGACUGACCGAUAGUGAACCAGUACCGUGAGGGAAAGGCGAAAAGAACCCCGGCGAGGGGAGUGAAAAAGAACCUGAAACCGUGUACGUACAAGCAGUGGGAGCACGCUUAGGCGUGUGACUGCGUACCUUUUGUAUAAUGGGUCAGCGACUUAUAUUCUGUAGCAAGGUUAACCGAAUAGGGGAGCCGAAGGGAAACCGAGUCUUAACUGGGCGUUAAGUUGCAGGGUAUAGACCCGAAACCCGGUGAUCUAGCCAUGGGCAGGUUGAAGGUUGGGUAACACUAACUGGAGGACCGAACCGACUAAUGUUGAAAAAUUAGCGGAUGACUUGUGGCUGGGGGUGAAAGGCCAAUCAAACCGGGAGAUAGCUGGUUCUCCCCGAAAGCUAUUUAGGUAGCGCCUCGUGAAUUCAUCUCCGGGGGUAGAGCACUGUUUCGGCAAGGGGGUCAUCCCGACUUACCAACCCGAUGCAAACUGCGAAUACCGGAGAAUGUUAUCACGGGAGACACACGGCGGGUGCUAACGUCCGUCGUGAAGAGGGAAACAACCCAGACCGCCAGCUAAGGUCCCAAAGUCAUGGUUAAGUGGGAAACGAUGUGGGAAGGCCCAGACAGCCAGGAUGUUGGCUUAGAAGCAGCCAUCAUUUAAAGAAAGCGUAAUAGCUCACUGGUCGAGUCGGCCUGCGCGGAAGAUGUAACGGGGCUAAACCAUGCACCGAAGCUGCGGCAGCGACGCUUAUGCGUUGUUGGGUAGGGGAGCGUUCUGUAAGCCUGCGAAGGUGUGCUGUGAGGCAUGCUGGAGGUAUCAGAAGUGCGAAUGCUGACAUAAGUAACGAUAAAGCGGGUGAAAAGCCCGCUCGCCGGAAGACCAAGGGUUCCUGUCCAACGUUAAUCGGGGCAGGGUGAGUCGACCCCUAAGGCGAGGCCGAAAGGCGUAGUCGAUGGGAAACAGGUUAAUAUUCCUGUACUUGGUGUUACUGCGAAGGGGGGACGGAGAAGGCUAUGUUGGCCGGGCGACGGUUGUCCCGGUUUAAGCGUGUAGGCUGGUUUUCCAGGCAAAUCCGGAAAAUCAAGGCUGAGGCGUGAUGACGAGGCACUACGGUGCUGAAGCAACAAAUGCCCUGCUUCCAGGAAAAGCCUCUAAGCAUCAGGUAACAUCAAAUCGUACCCCAAACCGACACAGGUGGUCAGGUAGAGAAUACCAAGGCGCUUGAGAGAACUCGGGUGAAGGAACUAGGCAAAAUGGUGCCGUAACUUCGGGAGAAGGCACGCUGAUAUGUAGGUGAAGUCCCUCGCGGAUGGAGCUGAAAUCAGUCGAAGAUACCAGCUGGCUGCAACUGUUUAUUAAAAACACAGCACUGUGCAAACACGAAAGUGGACGUAUACGGUGUGACGCCUGCCCGGUGCCGGAAGGUUAAUUGAUGGGGUCAGCGCAAGCGAAGCUCUUGAUCGAAGCCCCGGUAAACGGCGGCCGUAACUAUAACGGUCCUAAGGUAGCGAAAUUCCUUGUCGGGUAAGUUCCGACCUGCACGAAUGGCGUAAUGAUGGCCAGGCUGUCUCCACCCGAGACUCAGUGAAAUUGAACUCGCUGUGAAGAUGCAGUGUACCCGCGGCAAGACGGAAAGACCCCGUGAACCUUUACUAUAGCUUGACACUGAACAUUGAGCCUUGAUGUGUAGGAUAGGUGGGAGGCUUUGAAGUGUGGACGCCAGUCUGCAUGGAGCCGACCUUGAAAUACCACCCUUUAAUGUUUGAUGUUCUAACGUUGACCCGUAAUCCGGGUUGCGGACAGUGUCUGGUGGGUAGUUUGACUGGGGCGGUCUCCUCCUAAAGAGUAACGGAGGAGCACGAAGGUUGGCUAAUCCUGGUCGGACAUCAGGAGGUUAGUGCAAUGGCAUAAGCCAGCUUGACUGCGAGCGUGACGGCGCGAGCAGGUGCGAAAGCAGGUCAUAGUGAUCCGGUGGUUCUGAAUGGAAGGGCCAUCGCUCAACGGAUAAAAGGUACUCCGGGGAUAACAGGCUGAUACCGCCCAAGAGUUCAUAUCGACGGCGGUGUUUGGCACCUCGAUGUCGGCUCAUCACAUCCUGGGGCUGAAGUAGGUCCCAAGGGUAUGGCUGUUCGCCAUUUAAAGUGGUACGCGAGCUGGGUUUAGAACGUCGUGAGACAGUUCGGUCCCUAUCUGCCGUGGGCGCUGGAGAACUGAGGGGGGCUGCUCCUAGUACGAGAGGACCGGAGUGGACGCAUCACUGGUGUUCGGGUUGUCAUGCCAAUGGCACUGCCCGGUAGCUAAAUGCGGAAGAGAUAAGUGCUGAAAGCAUCUAAGCACGAAACUUGCCCCGAGAUGAGUUCUCCCUGACUCCUUGA
RNAcentral lists this ribosomal RNA (2787 nucleotides) under Escherichia coli. RNAcentral describes it as "bacterial LSU rRNA". It matches the Rfam family "Bacterial large subunit ribosomal RNA". Lineage: Bacteria; Pseudomonadati; Pseudomonadota; Gammaproteobacteria; Enterobacterales; Enterobacteriaceae. RNAcentral also lists the same sequence under 1 other name. The record is from RNAcentral.